Molecule: transfer RNA, 444 nt
Filed under: Trichormus anomalus RPAN34
Lineage: Bacteria; Bacillati; Cyanobacteriota; Cyanophyceae; Nostocales; Nostocaceae
Description: Anabaena anomala RPAN34 partial 16S-23S ribosomal RNA intergenic spacer
Rfam family: tRNA (bases 226-298)
Source: RNAcentral
CUAAAUUGGUCUAACCUAGGUCGGUCGCAGACUUGAAGUAAAGCUUUCAAACUAUGAUUUGGUUCGAUAAGGGCUAUUAGCUCAGGUGGUUAGAGCGCACCCCUGAUAAGGGUGAGGUCCCUGGUUCGAGUCCAGGAUGGCCCACCUGAAGGAAUUCAAAAAUCAAAAGUCAAAAGUCAAAAUUAAAUAUUUUUGAAGCAUGACUAGAAAUUUUGAGUUCUUUUUGGGGGCUUAGCUCAGUUGGUAGAGCGCCUGCUUUGCAAGCAGGAUGUCAGCGGUUCGAGUCCGCUAACCUCCACAUUGGAAAAAAGACAGCACCUAAUUGGAAAAGUUAGACUGCUGGAUGAAAUUCCAGCCAGAACCUUGAAAACUGCAUAAGAGAACGAGAAAAAGCAGGCAGACACAGACAUUUAAAUGGAUGUGAAAGCAAAGAAAAAUUGUGGU